This is a long non-coding RNA of Talpa occidentalis (Iberian mole), 109 nucleotides long. RefSeq lists it as uncharacterized. The transcript has 3 exons. NCBI's taxonomy places the organism in Eukaryota, Metazoa, Chordata, Mammalia, Eulipotyphla, Talpidae. The record is from RefSeq and is a predicted model, not a curated record.
AGAAGAGAGUGCUGAGGUCAUCAGGGAAGUAUGUCACAAAAGCGUAGACUCUGGAGUGCUGCAAGAAUCAGGUACGGUAGCACAGUGAACCUAACAAAGGUCUUCAAAG